Molecule: ribosomal RNA, 440 nt
Filed under: uncultured bacterium
Lineage: Bacteria
Description: partial 16S ribosomal RNA
Rfam family: Bacterial small subunit ribosomal RNA
Source: RNAcentral
CCUACGGGAGGCAGCAGUGGGGGAUAUUGCACAAUGGGGGAAACCCUGAUGCAGCGACGCCGCGUGUGGGAAGACGGUCUUCUGGAUUGUAAACCACUGUCCCCAGGGACGAAAAUGACGGUACCUGGGGAGGAAGCUCCGGCUAACUACGUGCCAGCAGCCGCGGUAAUACGUAGGGAGCAAGCGUUGUCCGGAAUUACUGGGUGUAAAGGGAGCGUAGGCGGGGAUGCAAGUUGGGUGUCAAAACUACCGGCUCAACGGAUAGUCGCACUGGAAACUGUAACUCUUGAGUGAAGUAGAGGCAGGCGGAAUUCCUGGUGUAGCGGUGAAAUGCGUAGAUAUUAGGAGGAACACCGGUGGCGAAGGCGGCCUGCUGGACUUUUACUGACGCUGAGGCUCGAAAGUGUGGGGAGCAAACAGGAUUAGAUACCCUGGUAGUC